Molecule: ribosomal RNA, 497 nt
Filed under: uncultured bacterium
Lineage: Bacteria
Description: partial 16S ribosomal RNA
Rfam family: Bacterial small subunit ribosomal RNA
Source: RNAcentral
GAUGAACGCUGGCGGCGUGCCUAAUACAUGCAGGUCGAGCGAACGGACGAGAAGCUUGCUUCUCUGAUGUUAGCGGCGGACGGGUGAGUAACACGUGGAUAACCUACCUAUAAGACUGGGAUAACUUCGGGAAACCGGAGCUAAUACCGGAUAAUAUUUUGAACCGCAUGGUUCAAAAGUGAAAGACGGUCUUGCUGUCACUUAUAGAUGGAUCCGCGCUGCAUUAGCUAAUUGGUAAGGUAACGGCUUACCAAGGCAACGAUGCAUAGCCGACCUGAGAGGGUGAUCGGCCACACUGGAACUGAGACACGGUCCAGACUCCUACGGGAGGCAGCAGUAGGGAAUCUUCCGCAAUGGGCGAAAGCCUGACGGAGCAACGCCGCGUGAGUGAUGAAGGUCUUCGGAUCGUAAAACUCUGUUAUUAGGGAAGAACAUAUGUGUAAGUAACUGUGCACAUCUUGACGGUACCUAAUCAGAAAGCCACGGCUAACUACGUG